UGAGGAAUAUUGGUCAAUGGGCGAGAGCCUGAACCAGCCAAGUCGCGUGAAGGAAGACUGCCUUAUGGGUUGUAAACUUCUUUUAUACAGGAAUAAAAGGCUUACGCGUAGGCCAUUGCAAGUACUGUAUGAAUAAGCAUCGGCUAACUCCGUGCCAGCAGCCGCGGUAAUACGGAGGAUGCGAGCGUUAUCCGGAUUUAUUGGGUUUAAAGGGUGCNCAGGCGGGCUUUUAAGUCAGCGGUGAAUCUGGACGCUUAACGUCCAAACUGCCGUUGAAACUGGGAGUCUUGAGUAUGGAUGAGUAGGCGGAAUUCGUUGUGUAGCGGUGACAUGCAUAGAUAUAACGAGGAACUCCGAUUGCGUAGGCAGCUUACUAAGCCAUAACUGACGCUCAUGCACGAAAGCGUGGGGAUCAAACAGGAUUAGAUACCCUGGUAGUCCACGCCGUAAACGAGAUUUACUAGUUGUAUGCGAUAUGAUAGUAUGUGACUAAGCGAAAGCGAUAAGUAAUCCACCUGGGGAGUACGCCGGCAACGGUGAAACUUAAAUGAUUGACGGGGUCAUAGCUGUUUCCUG
RNAcentral lists this ribosomal RNA (576 nucleotides) under uncultured bacterium. RNAcentral's name for it is "partial 16S ribosomal RNA". It matches the Rfam family "Bacterial small subunit ribosomal RNA", at positions 355 to 1376 of the family's 1533-position model. The record is from RNAcentral.